AGGACUUUUCCAGUGAGACGGGUGUCAGUGGGAGUUGGGCCGGAAAACCCAACAAAAGGAGGAGCCGCAAGCAACCGCAAGGGGGAAAAGCUGGAAAACCCAGGGAGCCCAGCAGGACUUGUUUUGUAUUUGUCCCGAAAAAAGAGGAGAGCAAAAAUUUGUUUUAAUGCCACGCUCUUUUUAUGCUUUUCUUUAUAACUUCUUUUCAGCUUUUUUGUCAUGUUACAAUUCUGCAGCGACAGCAGUAAAAAAUAAUAUCCCCACACCCGCCCCCAACCGGCAACCGCAACUUGUGCAACAUCAUAAACCCAUUUGCGUUUUUAAUUAGUAACAUCGCAGCUUGGCGGACUGAAGCGGUCGGCCGAGGGCGAAAAGUAAAUGACCAUGCACAAAAUGUUGCACAGAUAACAAGUCCUGGCCUCACAAGCCCCACAAAAAAAAAAAAAAACUAGAGCAAAUAAGUGCGAACACAACUAGCCAUGGAACAGGAACGGGGAACUGCUAACUGGAAACAGGGAGCAGCCGGUGGCCAGUUCAUCCUCAUCACAGCCAUAAAAGAGUCCGCCGCCAACAAAGUUGAAAAAGCGCAGCUCAAGUGGAGCAGCCUCCAGUCGGCGGAAAUGGUUUCGGUUUCGGGUUCGUGGCUCACUUUUUAUAUUUUAAAACCUUUUUUUUUUUAGUUCGUAUAUGGGGCAACGACCCUGGGUCACUGCGACUGACCAGUGAAGAGGAUUCCGUGAGGGAGGUGCCGACAGGUGUAGUGUCCUUCAAGUGGCAGGGAUAAUCCCACCGAACACCAACGCUAAUUAAAGAUGGGGGAAUAAGUGUGAUAUCACUUUGGUGAAAGACCUAAUGAAUAGAGAUGCGUAUGUGAUUGACAUAUAAAAUGAAUAUUCCAUUAAUAUGUAGGUAAUAAAAAAGCCCAUCAUAUUAGUUGAUGUUUAGUUCGCCCGACGU
RNAcentral lists this long non-coding RNA (957 nucleotides) under Drosophila melanogaster (fruit fly). RNAcentral describes it as "long non-coding RNA:CR43146 (Dmel_CR43146)". The record is from RNAcentral. Lineage: Eukaryota; Metazoa; Arthropoda; Insecta; Diptera; Drosophilidae.